RNAcentral lists this ribosomal RNA (382 nucleotides) under uncultured eukaryote. Its description in RNAcentral is "partial 18S ribosomal RNA". It matches the Rfam family "Eukaryotic small subunit ribosomal RNA", at positions 592 to 976 of the family's 1831-position model. The record is from RNAcentral.
CAAUAGCGUAUAUUAAAGUUGUUGCAGUUAAAAAGCUCGUAGUUGGAUUUCUGGUUGAAGCGACCGGUCGGGCGUUGAUUCGUCUGCACUGGAGUCGGUUUUGGCCAUCCUCUAGGAAAGUGCGUCUGGUAUUAAGUUAUCGGGCGUAUGAUCCUGGUCUUUUACUGUGAAAAAAUUAGAGUGUUUAAAGCAGGCCUUCGCCUUGAAUACAUUAGCAUGGAAUAAUAAGAUAGGACUUUGGUCUAUUUUGUUGGUUUGCAGACCGAAGUAAUGAUUAAUAGGGAUAGUUGGGGGUAUUUAUAUUCCGAUGUCAGAGGUGAAAUUCUUAGAUUUUCGGAAGAUAAACAGCUGCGAAAGCGUCUGCCAAGGAUGUUUUCAUUAA